Molecule: long non-coding RNA, 261 nt
Organism: Mustela erminea (ermine)
Lineage: Eukaryota; Metazoa; Chordata; Mammalia; Carnivora; Mustelidae
Exons: 3
Source: RefSeq, a predicted model, not a curated record
UCCCUGCCAAGGUGCUCAAGAACUUCUCUGCAGUUCUUGCCUAAGCAGAGAAGAAGUAGGCUGCUUAUGGUAAUAAUGGCUUCUAACUUUGAACUUAACAGUCUUUCUCAAGAUUCUCAAAUCAUGUGGCUUGGAAUGAAAUGUUACUAAAGCCAUCUCCAUGUAUUUUGCUCAUUUCCAUUGCCUUGUGAACAAAGGUUUUUGAGCCAAUCAGAAGCAUCUGCAUGCUGACUUCAGACUGCUAACUAAAGUUUAAUGUAG